RNAcentral lists this ribosomal RNA (497 nucleotides) under uncultured bacterium. RNAcentral's name for it is "partial 16S ribosomal RNA". It matches the Rfam family "Bacterial small subunit ribosomal RNA", at positions 28 to 507 of the family's 1533-position model. The record is from RNAcentral.
GAUGAACGCUGGCGGCGUGCCUAAUACAUGCAAGUCGAGCGAACGGACGAGAAGCUUGCUUCUCUGAUGUUAGCGGCGGACGGGUGAGUAACACGUGGAUAACCUACCUAUAAGACUGGGAUAACUUCGGGAAACCGGAGCUAAUACCGGAUAAUAUUUUGAACCGCAUGGGUCAAAAGUGAAAGACGGUCUUGCUGUCACGUAUAGAUGGAUCCGCGCUGCAUUAGCUAGUUGUUCAGGUAAAGGCUUACCAAGGCAACGAUGCAUAGCCGACCUGUGGGGGUGGUCGGCCACACGGGAACUGAGACGCGGUCCAGACUCCUACGGGAGGCCGCAGUAGCGAAUCUUCCGCAAUGGGCGAGAGCCUGACGGAGCAGCGCCGCGUGAGUGAUGACAAUCUUGGGAUCGUAAAACUCUGUUACUAGUUGAGAACAUAUGUGUCAGUAACUGAGCCCAUCUUGACGGUACCUAGUCAGAAAGCCCCGGCUAACUACGUG